AAUUAGGAUUAAAGGGGAGGAAGGUUAAGAAAUGAGAGGGUUUUUUUUUCAGAUCGGGGGUUUUUGGAUUGAAGAGCUAACUUCAAGCUCUUUUCAAGGUCACUAGUUUGGUUUCAUUAGGGUUUGUGAGGGGAGAGCAAUUGCUGCUCAAAGUCAGUGUUUGUUUUGGUGUUUCGGAUUUUAUAUAAAACAUUAAUGGUUUGCAUUCUCAAUUGGUUUGUGCAAGUCGUGUAGCAUCUAUGGAUC
This 246-nucleotide long non-coding RNA is filed under the name Physcomitrium patens. Its description in RNAcentral is "long non-coding RNA (PPAT_LNC005324)". Lineage: Eukaryota; Viridiplantae; Streptophyta; Bryopsida; Funariales; Funariaceae. The record is from RNAcentral.